AAAUUUCAUUUUUAGUGAUUGGAAUGAUGGGAAUCCAAACCCCUUUCAGAGUAACAAUUGGAGGGCAAGUCUGGUGCCAGCAGCCGCGGUAAUUCCAGCUCCAAUAGCGUAUAUUAAAGUUGUUGCAGUUAAAAAGCUCGUAGUUGGAUUUCUGCUGGAAGCAGCCAGUCCGCCCUUAGGGGUGUGUAGGUGGUGAAAUUCCGGCAUCCUCCUGGUGGCGCUUCGCACUUAACUGGGUGGAGUGCUUUUCCAGGACUUUUACUUUGA
RNAcentral lists this ribosomal RNA (267 nucleotides) under Cystoisospora sp. ex Vulpes lagopus. RNAcentral's name for it is "partial 18S ribosomal RNA". It matches the Rfam family "Eukaryotic small subunit ribosomal RNA", at positions 490 to 760 of the family's 1831-position model. Lineage: Eukaryota; Apicomplexa; Conoidasida; Eucoccidiorida; Sarcocystidae. The record is from RNAcentral.